RNAcentral lists this ribosomal RNA (591 nucleotides) under uncultured bacterium. RNAcentral's name for it is "bacterial SSU rRNA". It matches the Rfam family "Bacterial small subunit ribosomal RNA", at positions 335 to 916 of the family's 1533-position model. The record is from RNAcentral.
ACUCCUACGGGAGGCAGCAGUAGGGAAUCUUCCGCAAUGGACGAAAGUCUGACGGAGCAACGCCGCGUGAGUGAUGGAGGCUUUCGGGUCGUAAAACUCUGUUGUUAGGGAAGAACAAGUGCUAGUUGAAUAAGCUGGCACCUUGACGGUACCUAACCAGAAAGCCACGGCUAACUACGUGCCAGCAGCCGCGGUAAUACGUAGGUGGCAAGCGUUAUCCGGAAUUAUUGGGCGUAAAGCGCGCGCAGGUGGUUUCUUAAGUCUGAUGUGAAAGCCCACGGCUCAACCGUGGAGGGUCAUUGGAAACUGGGAGACUUGAGUGCAGAAGAGGAAAGUGGAAUUCCAUGUGUAGCGGUGAAAUGCGCAGAGAUAUGGAGGAACACCAGUGGCGAAGGCGACUUUCUGGUCUGUAACUGACACUGAGGCGCGAAAGCGUGGGGAGCAAACAGGAUUAGAUACCCUGGUAGUCCACGCCGUAAACGAUGAGUGCUAAGUGUUAGGGGGUUUCCGCCCCUUAGUGCUGCAGCUAACGCAUUAAGCACUCCGCCUGGGGAGUACGACCGCAAGGUUGAAACUCAAAGGAAUUGACGG